Molecule: long non-coding RNA, 1254 nt
Organism: Tarenaya hassleriana
Lineage: Eukaryota; Viridiplantae; Streptophyta; Magnoliopsida; Brassicales; Cleomaceae
Exons: 2
Source: RefSeq, a predicted model, not a curated record
CCAAAUAAAACAUGCAGGUUACACACGUAGACAUGCAUCUAGAUGGGGAAGAAUAUAAAAAAAAGGCAACGAAAUCGGAUUUACUAAUUUUGGGAAUAAUAUUAUUAACACGCAGGAUUUACCUCCAACCAAUUCAUGUGCGUUUUUUUUCCACCUUCAUCCCUUUUCAGUUGGAUUCCUCUCUUUGUAAUUUCGGCUUCGGAAGAGAAAAGAAAGCAACGACGGAAGCAGAAUCUCGUGUUCAUAGAUUCAAGUGGGCUUGACGUAUACGGAUAUAUACAUAUAUAUAUAUAAAAGAGAAGAAUAUCUGCCAUUAUAAAAAGAAGAAGAAAAAUGGAAGGAGGGCAGGAAGAGGGGAUGAUGGAGAUAAAAAGGAAACUGAAGGGGAUGAAGAUAAUAAAGAGGGAGGGGAAGAGCGACGAGGAAGACGCGAAAAGGCAAGAGGCAUACAACAUGUCUCCGCGAGCAGGAGGAGGUCCCUCCAACGUGAUGAUGAUGGGCAAGUCAUCGAGCGGGAGGUUCAAUUGCCUAUGCGCACCCACCACCCACCCCGGCUCUUUCAGGUGCCGCUACCACCGACGACGCGGCAACUCCACCCGCUUGCCGCGUGGCGUCUCUGUCCCCACCAACUUGUCCAUGAUCAUGGCUUCCUCCAAAUCCGGUGGCAUAGUAGAAUCCUCCAAUGAAUGAGUUGUUCCUUCUUUUUCCACAACUUGUGUACAUAAAGGCACGAAUAAUUGAAACAUGAAAGCAUCUUCCUAUGUUCAACGAGGCUUAAGAUCUCCCUAAGAUUAUUAUAGACAUUUUUCGAAUUCGAGUCUCACAAGGAGCAUUAGGAAAUGUGUUCAAACAGGAAACGAUCUCGAAACGUUGAGUUUGAGCACAGGAACCGAAUCCUGCAACGUGGAGAAUCUCCUCUUUGUCUCUUACCAAUACUCCGAAACCAUGGGAGUUGUGACAAUGCCGCCAAGAUCAACCGUGCCUGACCACGAGAAAGUAUUUCGCCACAUCCACAUUUGGGAGUAAUUCAAAUCCAAGUUAUGGAAACAUUUCGUGCCCCACAAUGUGGAGCAUGAAGCACGAAAUAAACUGAAAAGGGCUCACCCUUUCCACUUCAAGGAUGAACUUAGAGUCUUAGAGAGACUAGACGAAGGUGGAACUCAAUCUACAAGGGCGUGCAAAAUGACAAAAAGUUGUCAGGAAUCCAAUAAUAAACAAAAACGACAGAGGCUCCAGAAACCAAAACCAAAGUUA